This 371-nucleotide ribosomal RNA is filed under the name uncultured bacterium. RNAcentral describes it as "bacterial SSU rRNA". It matches the Rfam family "Bacterial small subunit ribosomal RNA", at positions 525 to 896 of the family's 1533-position model. The record is from RNAcentral.
ACGUAGGCAGCAAGCGUUGUUCGGAGUUACUGGGCGUAAAGGGUGUGUAGGCGGUUGCCUAAGUUUGGUGUGAAAUCUCCCGGCUUAACCGGGAGGGUGCGCCGAAAACUGGGUGACUAGAGUGUGGGAUGGGUAAGUGGAAUUCCUGGUGUAGCGGUGAAAUGCGUAGAUAUCAGGAGGAACACCGGUGGUGUAGACGGCUUACUGGACCAUAACUGACGCUGAGACACGAAAGCGUGGGUAGCAAACAGGAUUAGAUACCCUGGUAGUCCACGCCCUAAACGAUGCAUAUUUGGUGUGGGUCAUUCAGUUGAUCCGUGCCGGAGCUAACGCGUUAAAUAUGCCGCCUGGGGAGUACAGUCGCAAGGCUG